This 246-nucleotide unclassified non-coding RNA is filed under the name Pleosporales sp. Its description in RNAcentral is "partial contains 5.8S ribosomal RNA, internal transcribed spacer 2, and large subunit ribosomal RNA". The record is from RNAcentral. Lineage: Eukaryota; Fungi; Ascomycota; Dothideomycetes; Pleosporales.
CGCACAUUGCGCCCCUUGGUAUUCCAUUGGGCAUGCCUGUUCGAGCGUCAUUUACACCCUCAAGCCCCGCUUGGUGUUGGGCGUCUGUCCUUGCCACACGCAAAGACUCGCCUUAAAUUCAUUGGCAGCGGCAUUGUCGGCUUCUUGCGCAGCACAUUGCGCCUAGAAGGCUACCGGCAGUCUAGCUACCAUUAAGAAACUACCCAGUUUGACCUCGAAUCAGGUAGGGAUACCCGCUGAACUUAA